Monodelphis domestica (gray short-tailed opossum) is the source of this 310-nucleotide long non-coding RNA. RefSeq lists it as uncharacterized. NCBI's taxonomy places the organism in Eukaryota, Metazoa, Chordata, Mammalia, Didelphimorphia, Didelphidae. The record is from RefSeq and is a predicted model, not a curated record.
AGGAAGAGAGUGGGAGAUUCUGUCAAGUGAUAGCAUGAAUCAGAGAGGCUUAGUUUAAAUUCAACCUCAUUAUAUAACCUUGGAAAAAUCAUUAACCCUCUAUGCCUGAGUUUCUACAUCUUGAAAAUGGGAGAGUUGAACUUGAUGGCUUCUAAGCUGGAGCCUGGAAGCUGAAGGAACUUCUGUCAGUGGUGAGCUUCAAUCCAUCAAACAGCAAAUGGGAUAUUAAGCUAGGCAACUCUCUGCCUCUUUACUACAUUUCCCUCUCUUUACCAUCACUACUUUGAUGUAAUAAAGCUACUAAAGCUCC